RNAcentral lists this transfer RNA (77 nucleotides) under Kiritimatiellia bacterium. RNAcentral's name for it is "Kiritimatiellae bacterium (sponge metagenome) tRNA-Arg". It matches the Rfam family "tRNA". From Rfam's summary of the family: Transfer RNA (tRNA) molecules are approximately 80 nucleotides in length. Their secondary structure includes four short double-helical elements and three loops (D, anti-codon, and T loops). The record is from RNAcentral. Lineage: Bacteria; Pseudomonadati; Kiritimatiellota; Kiritimatiellia.
GUACCCAUAGCUCAACUGGACAGAGCAUCUGACUACGAAUCAGAAGGUUGCAGGUUCGACUCCUGCUGGGUACGCCA